CCUACGGGUGGCAGCAGUGGGGAAUAUUGCUCAAUGGGGGAAACCCUGAUGCAGCGACGCCGCGUGAAGGAAGAAGUACUUCGGUAUGUAAACUUCUAUCAGCAGGGAAGAAAAUGACGGUACCUGACUAAGUAGCCCCGGCUAACUACGGGCCAGCAGCCGCGGUAAUACGUAGGGGGCAAGCGUUAUCCGGAUUUACUGGGUGUAAAGGGAGCGUAGGCGGGGAUGCAAGUCAGAAGUGAAAGCCCGGGGCUCAACUCCGGGACUGCUUUUGAAACUGUAUGGCUAGAUUGCAGGAGAGGCAAGUGGAAUUCCUAGUGUAGCGGUGAAAUGCGUAGAUAUUAGGAGGAACACCAGUGGCGAAGGCGGUCUGCUGGACAGCAACUGACGCUGAGGCGCGAAAGCGUGGGGAGCAAACAGGAUUAGAUACCCGUGUAGUC
Molecule: ribosomal RNA, 440 nt
Filed under: uncultured bacterium
Lineage: Bacteria
Description: partial 16S ribosomal RNA
Rfam family: Bacterial small subunit ribosomal RNA
Source: RNAcentral